Molecule: long non-coding RNA, 135 nt
Filed under: Ursus americanus (American black bear)
Lineage: Eukaryota; Metazoa; Chordata; Mammalia; Carnivora; Ursidae
Description: lncRNA (ENSUAMG00000024115.1)
Source: RNAcentral
UUGUCCUGGGAGAAGGCUGAGGAGCCCGAGGGGAGAGAGCGAGGGUUUGCCAACAUCCUAGCAGGUUCUGACAGAAACCGUACCCGCACCAAGGCGCACCUCCUGCCAUCCCCUCGUGACAAGGGAGCUCUGCUU